AUCGGGGGGCUCGGCCCGAUCCUCCCACCCUUUGUGUACCUACCUCUGUUGCUUUGGCGGGCCGCGGUCCUCCGCGGCCGCCCCCCUCCCCGGGGGGUGGCCAGCGCCCGCCAGAGGACCAUCAAACUCCAGUCAGUAAACGAUGCAGUCUGAAAAACAUUUAAUAAACUAAAACUUUCAACAACGGAUCUCUUGGUUCUGGCAUCGAUGAAGAACGCAGCGAAAUGCGAUAAGUAAUGUGAAUUGCAGAAUUCAGUGAAUCAUCGAAUCUUUGAACGCACAUUGCGCCCUUUGGUAUUCCGAAGGGCAUGCCUGUUCGAGCGUCAUUACAACCCUCAAGCUCUGCUUGGUAUUGGGCACCGUCCUUUGCGGGCGCGCCUCAAAGACCUCGGCGGUGGCGUCUUGCCUCAAGCGUAGUAGAACAUACAUCUCGCUUCGGAGCGCAGGGCGUCGCCCGCCGGACGAACCUUCUGAACUUUUCUCAAGGUUGACCUCGGAUCAGGUAGGGAUACCCGCUGAACUUAAGCAUAUCAAUAAGCGGAGGAA
This 546-nucleotide ribosomal RNA is filed under the name Botryosphaeria dothidea. RNAcentral's name for it is "eukaryotic LSU rRNA". The stretch from base 173 to 326 matches the Rfam family "5.8S ribosomal RNA". Lineage: Eukaryota; Fungi; Ascomycota; Dothideomycetes; Botryosphaeriales; Botryosphaeriaceae. The record is from RNAcentral.